AUCGUAACUCCUACGGGAGGCAGCAGUAGGGAAUCUUCCGCAAUGGGCGAAAGCCUGACGGAGCAACGCCGCGUGGGUGAAGAAGGUCUUCGGAUCGUAAAACUCUGUUAUUAGGGAAGAACAAAUGUGUAAGUAACUAUGCACGUCUUGACGGUACCUAAUCAGAAAGCCACGGCUAACUACGUGCCAGCAGCCGCGGUAAUACGUAGGUGGCAAGCGUUAUCCGGAAUUAUUGGGCGUAAAGCGCGCGUAGGCGGUUUUUUAAGUCUGAUGUGAAAGCCCACGGCUCAACCGUGGAGGGUCAUUGGAAACUGGAAAACUUGAGUGCAGAAGAGGAGAGUGGAAUUCCAUGUGUAGCGGUGAAAUGCGUAGAUAUAUGGAGGAACACCAGUGGCGAAGGCGACUCUCUGGUCUGUAACUGACGCUGAGGCUCGAAAGCGUGGGUAGCAAACAGGAUUAGAAACCCUGGUAGUCCUAGAGC
RNAcentral lists this ribosomal RNA (481 nucleotides) under uncultured bacterium. Its description in RNAcentral is "bacterial SSU rRNA". It matches the Rfam family "Bacterial small subunit ribosomal RNA", at positions 329 to 802 of the family's 1533-position model. The record is from RNAcentral.